This 460-nucleotide ribosomal RNA is filed under the name uncultured bacterium. Its description in RNAcentral is "partial 16S ribosomal RNA". It matches the Rfam family "Bacterial small subunit ribosomal RNA", at positions 338 to 795 of the family's 1533-position model. The record is from RNAcentral.
CCUACGGGAGGCAGCAGUGAGGAAUAUUGGUCAAUGGGCGUAAGCCUGAACCAGCCAAGUCGCGUGAGGGAUGAAGGUUCUAUGGAUCGUAAACCUCUUUUAUAAGGGAAUAAAGUGUGGGACGUGUCCUGUUUUGUAUGUACCUUAUGAAUAAGGAUCGGCUAACUCCGUGCCAGCAGCCGCGGUAAUACGGAGGAUCCGAGCGUUAUCCGGAUUUAUUGGGUUUAAAGGGUGCGUAGGCGGCCUUUUAAGUCAGCUGUGAAAGUUUGUGGCUCAACCAUAGAAUUGCAGUUGAAACUGGCAGUCUUGAGUAUGUUUGAGGCAGGCGGAAUGCGUGGUGUAGCGGUGAAAUGCUUAGAUAUCACGCAGAACCCCGAUUGCGAAGGCAGCCUGCCAAGCCAUGACUGACGCUGAUGCACGAAAGCGUGGGGAUCAAACAGGAUUAGAUACCCUGGUAGUC